Papaver somniferum (opium poppy) is the source of this 1540-nucleotide long non-coding RNA. RefSeq lists it as uncharacterized. The transcript has 2 exons. The record is from RefSeq and is a predicted model, not a curated record. Lineage: Eukaryota; Viridiplantae; Streptophyta; Magnoliopsida; Ranunculales; Papaveraceae.
GAUUGUCGAGUCAGAAGAGAGUCUAUAUAUUCAUGAGUCUGUCCUGUAAUGAAUUAUCUUUCUUUUAUCAAUCAAAUUGAUUAAACCGUAAGCAAUGUAGACAUGAGGAUUCUCAAUGUUACUAUGGUAUCAGACUCGGAAAUAAAUUUCUGAGGGUACCGAUCCUAGCAUGUGAUUCUUCACCAUCACCACCAUUACUUCAUCUUCAACAAUCUCCAUUACCAUUGAUUCAUCAUCUUCUGCUGCUGCAACUGUAGAUCGAAAUUUGAAGGCCGAUUUCAAUAAUUCAUCUCAGAUUUGAGGCUAAUUCGACUCAACGGUGCGUUUUAUCUACAUCUACAGCAACUGUUGUGCACUGCUGCAAAAACUGCCUAAGGGGAAUAAAAGUAUGACUUUGUCUAUUUUCUUUAUGAUGCUCAUGGUGCUGGCUAGUGUUAAUGUACAUCAGCUGAGCUGUCUGUUGCUCUUAGUGGUGUCCAAGCAUGGAUGCGUCCAGGUCUUCAUCUACAGUUCCAGGGAGUGAAUGACUUAUUCCAAUCUCAGAGGCUACUGCUUCUCAUUUUGGUGUUGAACUACAAUCUUCACAGUUGCAUGAGUUGGUUUUCACUGUAUGUUUUCACUGCAACAUUGUAUAUUUCCUGUGCUUGGAUUUCUGCUUCAGCUGAAACUCUUCUGGUAAUAUUGCUAAGCAAGUGAGUGUGAUUGCAACUUCGAAUGAGCUUUCUUCGCUUAAAUCUGGUGGGAGUGUUCUACUGGAGCUAUUGUAGUAAGUGAUUAAUUCUUUAUUCUGACCUAGUGACACAUCCACUGCUACUUCCUGGUAUGUCCUGGUAUUUGUCUUUCUCCAGACUCAUCUACUGCAUCACCUGUGCUUGUUGCCUCAAAUGUUGUCAGUUCAAAUUUGGUAUGCUUUAUGUGCGCAUCAAGUGCUUUGGGUUUUCGACAUCAGUUGGAGUCACUCAAUUAUAGUACAAAUGAAAGUCUAAAUACUUCUUGUGAAUGUGUGUGUCUAAGCAUGUGUAACGGUUGGUGAGCUGAGUUCCUUGUCCAAUCAUCCAACCUACUUCUCGCUAUAUUAUAUGUUUUAUCUUUUUCUGGUGCUUAGAGAUCCGCUUCACCUGCGACAGUGCUACUGUUCACAUUAUCACAUUUCUGCAACUACUGUUGAUGCUUGUGCACCUCCACAAUUACUCUUGUACCAUCAGCUGGUGGUUCUUCUCUUCCACAUGGUUUGUUUCUUUCCAUUGCAGACUUUGGCAAUUCUCAUCAUCAACUUCAGCAUGAGUUGUGUGCUGGUGAGCUGUGUAGCAAUAUCAAGUUGUCUUUUUGCAGCCUACUUGAGAUUGAGGGAGGGUAAUAGCAUGAGUUGUGUGCUGGUGAGCUGUGUGAAAUGUAAGUGUGUGUGUAUGUGCCAUAAGCAUGUGAGAAGUGUAAGCGAGAUUUGAUUGUCGAGAGAAGAGAGUCUAUAUAUUCAUGAGUCUGUCCUGUAAUGAAUUAUCUUUCUUUUAUCAAUCAAAUUGAUUAAACCGUAAGCAAUGUA